GGGGUUGUGGCUCAGUGGUAGAGCGCUCACCUAGCCCACGUGAGGCACUGGGUUCGAUCCUCAGCACCCCA
RNAcentral lists this transfer RNA (71 nucleotides) under Marmota marmota marmota (Alpine marmot). It matches the Rfam family "tRNA". Rfam says of the family: Transfer RNA (tRNA) molecules are approximately 80 nucleotides in length. Their secondary structure includes four short double-helical elements and three loops (D, anti-codon, and T loops). Further hydrogen bonds mediate the characteristic L-shaped molecular structure. tRNAs have two regions of fundamental functional importance: the anti-codon, which is responsible for specific mRNA codon recognition, and the 3' end, to which the tRNAs corresponding amino acid is attached (by aminoacyl-tRNA synthetases). tRNAs cope with the degeneracy of the genetic code in two manners: having more than one tRNA (with a specific anti-codon) for a particular amino acid; and 'wobble' base-pairing, i.e. permitting non-standard base-pairing at the 3rd anti-codon position. The record is from Rfam by way of RNAcentral. Lineage: Eukaryota; Metazoa; Chordata; Mammalia; Rodentia; Sciuridae. RNAcentral also lists the same sequence under 1 other name.